This is a long non-coding RNA of Mustela lutreola (European mink), 268 nucleotides long. RefSeq lists it as uncharacterized. The record is from RefSeq and is a predicted model, not a curated record. The transcript has 2 exons. Lineage: Eukaryota; Metazoa; Chordata; Mammalia; Carnivora; Mustelidae.
GAGGAUUCAUACAGGAGUGAGAACUGCACCACAAGAGGGGAGGCAGAGAGCAUGGACAGAACGAGGAUCGUGGGGGAGAUGUAGUGCUGCCCUUUCUUCCCCUCCAGAGAGUCCUACGCCUGCUGCAGCGUGCCUACUCUAGAUAGCACAUGGGUCACCGGUCGUGGUGAGGGCGUUUUCUUUAUUUUCUCCUUUCAGGGCAAGAAGGUCCUCACUCAAUUUUUGCACACAGUAUGUACUCAGUAAACACUGGUUGAGAGAAACUUGA